This 71-nucleotide non-coding RNA is filed under the name bovine gut metagenome. RNAcentral describes it as "Glycine riboswitch". It matches the Rfam family "Glycine riboswitch aptamer", at positions 8 to 87 of the family's 94-position model. Rfam says of the family: This family represents the bacterial glycine riboswitch. Glycine riboswitches usually consist of two metabolite-binding aptamers domains with similar structures in tandem. The record is from RNAcentral.
GAUACGGGAGAGACCCGCGAAAGGCGGGAGCCGAAGGGGCAUGAAAAAACUCUCAGGCAAAAGAACCGGAU